Molecule: transfer RNA, 76 nt
Filed under: Candidatus Taylorbacteria bacterium RIFCSPHIGHO2_01_FULL_43_47
Lineage: Bacteria; Candidatus Tayloriibacteriota
Also listed under: 2 other names
Description: tRNA-Val
Rfam family: tRNA
About the family: Transfer RNA (tRNA) molecules are approximately 80 nucleotides in length. Their secondary structure includes four short double-helical elements and three loops (D, anti-codon, and T loops). Further hydrogen bonds mediate the characteristic L-shaped molecular structure. tRNAs have two regions of fundamental functional importance: the anti-codon, which is responsible for specific mRNA codon recognition, and the 3' end, to which the tRNAs corresponding amino acid is attached (by aminoacyl-tRNA synthetases). tRNAs cope with the degeneracy of the genetic code in two manners: having more than one tRNA (with a specific anti-codon) for a particular amino acid; and 'wobble' base-pairing, i.e. permitting non-standard base-pairing at the 3rd anti-codon position.
Source: RNAcentral
GCGCGGUUAGCUCAGUUGGUAGAGCGUCUCGUUGACGUCGAGAAGGUCAUAGGUUCGAACCCUAUACCGCGCACAA